Molecule: ribosomal RNA, 340 nt
Filed under: uncultured bacterium
Lineage: Bacteria
Description: bacterial SSU rRNA
Rfam family: Bacterial small subunit ribosomal RNA
Source: RNAcentral
AUUAAACGCUGGCGGCAUGCCUUACACAUGCAAGUCGAACGGCAGCACAGCAGAGCUUGCUCUGUGGGUGGCGAGUGGCGGACGGGUGAGGAAUACGUCGGAAUCUGCCCAAUCGUGGGGAGUAACUAACCGAAAGGUUAGCUAAUACCGCAUACGACCGAGAGGUGAAAGACGGGGACCGGCAAGGCCUCGCGCGAUUGGAUGAGCCGACGUCGGAUUAGCUUGUUGGUGGGGUAAAGGACCUACCAAGGCAACGAUCCGUAGCUGGUCUGAGAGGAUGAUCAGCCACACUGGAACUGAGACACGGUCCAGACUCCUACCGGGAGGCAGCAGUGGGGAA